GCAAACUAAAAUACAAAAAUAAAAGAUAAAAAAUAUUUUUGGUGUUUUAAUAAAGGAAUGCAAAUAAAAAUGCACAAAUAACUAAAAAUCAUCCAAAUAUUAGUAUUUGUAGGAGAAUUAGAAGCGAGUAAAAAUUAGGUAUUCACAGUUGCCCCUCUUUGCUCGAGAACAUGAAGAGUUUUCGUGCAAAAAAAAUUGAAUGCCAUGGCUAAUUGUUGCUCACAUACCACUCCAAUGAAAGAAAUUUUUGAAAAAAGUGACCGAAUUAGGCCAGUGUAGUUCUGGGAAAAUUUGGUCGCUCUGAUUGCCAGACACUGGUGCUAAGACUGUUGUUGUUGUUGCUACUGUUGUUGUUGCUGUUAUUGUUUCUUGAUGCUUACAUCAAAAGCAAAAGAGAAGAGAACUACAUUUGUUUGCAAACUAAGAGUUACAAAAUACCUAUCUAUGUAUCUUCUGGAUUCAAAUCUUGAUUCUUGACUUGCUCGCUUGUGUUGACUUUAGUUUGGAUCUUGAUGCUCUUUGAAGAAAAGAUUAUGACUUAAUAUCAGUUGCUUGCUUUCUUGAUCCGAAAUUGAGAAGAUAAAUCUUGAGACGCCGAGUUGCUGACAUAUCAUCAAAACUAACUCCAACUAUCUUAUGAUCAACAAACUUCUCUCUUCUGAGGAGAACUGAAAUUACAAGCUUUAAUCUCUACAAUAUGUGCUUUACAGUAGGGUCCUGCAAAGACAUCAAAGACGAACAAAAUAAACAAAUUUUUUGCCCCAGUCUGGUACUAGAAAAAUUUUGUGAGUUAUUAGAAAAAGCAGUAAAUUAUCUAAUUCACUGAAAGAAAGACAAAGACAGUAGUACAAACUAUUAUCUGAAGAUAUGCCACCACGGGGUAGUACCAUAUGUUACCAAAGGGAAUGGAAUUAGAGGAUGGUACCAUGUAUUACUGAAGGUAAACGUAACCAGGGGUUAGCACCUUGUAUUAUUGAAAAGGAGUGUAAUUAUGGGUUGGUAUCCUGUAUUACUAGGAAUGGAUGUAACCAUGGGUUGGUACCUUGUAUUAGUGAAGAGAAAUAUAACCAGGGGUUGGUGCCCUUUAUUAUUACGGAAGAUGUAACCAGGGGUUGGAGCCUUAUACUAUUGCUAAAAUGUUGUAUCUCUCUAGGCGAAAAGGUUCUACCUGAGUUAAGCUAUGAAAACAACAUGAGCGAAGAGUACUUCUACCAUAUAAUAUGAGCUGGAUCCCCCUAGCAAAACGGUUCUACCUGAGUUAAUCUAUGUAAAUCAGCAUGAGCAAAGAGUACUUCUACCCGGCACUAUAAGCUGGAUCCCCUAGGCGAAAUGGUUCUACCUGAGUUAAGCUGCGCAAAACAUCCUGAGCGAAGAAUACUUCUACCCAAAAUUAUAAGCUGGAUCCCCCUAAGUGAAACGGUUCUACCUGAGCUAAGCUACGUAAAACACACUGAGCGAGAGUACUUCUACCUGAAACUUUGAGCUGGAUUCCCCCUAGGAGAAACGGUUCUACCUGAGUUAAGCUAUGUAAAACACCCUAAGCGAAGAGUACUUCUACCCGAAACUAUAAGCUAGAUACCCCUAGGCGAAAAGGUUCUACCUGAGUUAAGCUAUGUAAAACACAUUGCGCGAAAUGAACUUCUACCCGGAACUAUGAGCUAGAUCCCCCUAGGCAAAACGGUUCUACUUGAGUUAAGCUAUGUAAAACAACCUGACUAAAGAGUACUUUUACCCGGAACUAUGAGCUAGAUCCCCUAGGCAAAAUGGUUCUACCUGAGUUAAGCUACGUAAAACAUUAUGAGCGAAGAGUACUUCUUCCGAAACUAUGAGUUGGAUCCCCCUAUGCGAAACGGUUCUACCUGAGUUAAGCUACGUAAAACAGCUUGAGUGAAGAGUACAGAACUAUGAGCUGGAUCUCCCUUAGCGAAACGGUUCUGCCUGAGUUAAGCUAUGUAAAACACCUUGAGCAAUGAGUACUUCUACACGGAACUAUGAGUUGGAUCCCUCUACGCAAAACGGUUCUACCUGAGUUAAGCUACAUAAAACAACCUGACCGAAGAGUACUUCUACUCAGAACUACAAGCUGGAUUCCUCUAGGCGAAAGGAGUCUGCCUAAGUUAAGCUAUGAAAAUGGUAGGUGUGAACAAUAGUGAUGCAUGGUGAAAAUAAAAUAAAAAUGGAGAUUUUAAGGAGUAUACAUUUGGUGAUAUUCAUUCUUUUAGAAUCUCCAUUCUGCACUGCUUUGAUCCUGCUUCGAACAAAAAAUAAUUGAGUUUUCAUAGUGGUGGUUGGUUUGUGGCCGUGAUGCCUUGAGUAGUUUGAUUCACGGCAACUGUUGUCAAAGAACCGAUUCUGUCAGCGUGGUACCGAGAUGCUCGACUGCUCUGUAUCAUUGUUUGGAGACCUUGGAUUUCCAAUAUUUCCCCCAACUGUUUCACACUUAGAUGUCCAUGGUAGCGCUACCUUUGUCUCGAAGGCAAUGCAUUUUUUUUCUUUAAAAUCAACUCUGUUGUCUUGCAUCCAAUGUUAUACCUCCUAUUUUCACUAUACACCCGGAAGGGUAUAAAAGAAGUUUUUUUCAAUUUAAGUGACGAUUGAAACGGGAUUAUUUUAUAAAAAAUUCAGAGUCGCCACUUGGGAUAAUUAGUGGUAUCCCAAGUUACCGGUUCAAAUCCCGAAUCGAGGAAAAAAUUGACUCUUUUAUGUCUAUGAAUAUAGAAAUCCGAAUAAGGAAUUCUGUAAACCAGGAGAAGGUGUUAGGAAUUCCCCAGUUCCGUGGUUCUAGCAUGGUCGCUUAGCAAUUUAUACUUGGAUUAAUUGUUCAACUACUUAUUCAGAAGACCUAUGUGCAUUUACAUUUUUACCGCUUUUAAAUCACUUGAUUGUUCGUAAUUAAAGAAUUGAGUUACACGUACGUAUACUCUUUUCUUUUGGAGCAUCAAAAAUCAUGUCACGCGUACGUGUCCACAAUUAAUCACGCUUUUGUUACUAUUAAGAAAGUUUGGCCGAAGUUGCGCGAAAGCAUACUCCGAUUUAUUUUUUCUAAAAUUAUAAUUAUGUCACGCGAAUGUGUACACCAUCGGAAUGAUAAUUGAGUGCCUAAAAAUAUUCCAAUGGUAUUCAUUAUUCUUCCUAAAUCUUGAGAUUAUUUGGAGGCCAAAGGUAUGAGAGGCAUCAUUAUAAAGAUUUAAUGUGAUUUUAUUAUCAAAAUUAGGAAAAGGCAUGUGGUUGAUUGAAGUUAUUGAAUUAUUCAACUAAUUUAACAUUCUGAUUUUUAAAUAUCCACCCCUAAAACUUUCUAUCAUUUGAUAAUCUAACAUUAUAAAUUUAAGAUAUAAAUAUACGAAACACAAGCAAUAAUACAAACAAAAACAAACUUCAUGAAUCAUGUAAAAUCCAAAGCAUAUCUCGCAACAAAGAUGUAACCACCAGAUUAGCACAAAUUUUUAACAUGGUCACAAUCAAUAGAUCAAGCUAGACAGAAGAAAGAGGAAAUACUACUAAUAAGGAUAACAUGAAAAUAUUCACCGAAUAAUAUAACUGAACAUAUUUUUGCAAACCACAAUUUAAACUGAACAAUAUUUAUUAAAUAUGAUAUGGAUUUAUUCAAGCAAUAUCACACAAAAAUGACAAAGAUUAGAAUGGACCUUUGCUCAAUAUUCUCCGAAUGUGAAACCCAUAUCGAGUCAACCACAGCGAGCUACUGAAACUUUGAACCGACGACCUCGACUUAAUGAACCUCGCUACUCGGCUACAACUCGAACUUGAAGGCAAAGGGGUUCAUGCCAUGGAUUCUCAUGGUUGUUUCAGGGUUGAUUUUCACAGCCACUUGCUGCUGUAUUUUUACUGCUUUUCAGUUAGUUAUUAGACUGCAAAAUUGGUGGUUUUAGGUGAGUUUAACAACAGGUUUGGGGUGAUUCAGCUGGGUUUUGGACUGGCCUUCAAAGGCACUACGUUGCUGGGUUUGGAGGUUUUUUUGAAGCAGAUUUUUAGGAAGUUUAAAUGGUGUUUUUAUGAAACUCAUGGCUGGAUUUUGACGAAGAAUAAGGCCACGUUCUUUUUGGCCCCUUUUUCGUUUCUGUUUUUCCCCUGUAUUUUUCAGGGGGUGGGGUGCUGAAAUUUGCCUUCUAUGGCGGAUGAUCUAUAUUAGAGUCUCUAGGUCUAAUUUUGAUCCCCUCAGAUUUUUUUGGGCAUUACUUUUUGUGUAUUAUUUUUAUCUCUUAGAGUAUAGGGUGUAUUUAUAUAGUAAGAAGGGAUUUUAGGUUAAGGGGUAUAAGUUUAGUGUUAUU
This 4289-nucleotide long non-coding RNA is filed under the name Nicotiana benthamiana. RNAcentral describes it as "long non-coding RNA (NBEN_LNC042018)". The record is from RNAcentral. Lineage: Eukaryota; Viridiplantae; Streptophyta; Magnoliopsida; Solanales; Solanaceae.